Molecule: ribosomal RNA, 485 nt
Filed under: uncultured bacterium
Lineage: Bacteria
Description: bacterial SSU rRNA
Rfam family: Bacterial small subunit ribosomal RNA
Source: RNAcentral
GGCUCAGGACGAACGCUGGCGGCGUGCUUAACACAUGCAAGUCGAACGGAACUCUUUGGAUCGAGACUUCGGUCAAGUGAAUCUGAGUUUAGUGGCGGACGGGUGAGUAACGCGUGAGGAACCUGCCUUUCAGAGGGGGACAACAGUUGGAAACGACUGCUAAUACCGCAUAACGUGCCUGGGAGGCAUCUCCUGGGUACCAAAGAUUUAUCGCUGAUAGAUGGGCUCGCGUCUGAUUAGAUAGUUGGCGGGGUAACGGCCCACCAAGUCGACGAUCAGUAGCCGGACUGAGAGGUUGAACGGCCACAUUGGGACUGAGACACGGCCCAGACUCCUACGGGAGGCAGCAGUGGGGGAUAUUGGACAAUGGGGGCAACCCUGAUCCAGCGACGCCGCGUGAGGGAAGAAGGUUUUCGGAUUGUAAACCUCUGUCAACAGGGAAAAUGAUGAUGGUACCUGUGGAGGAAGCCACGGCUAACUACGUG